Molecule: ribosomal RNA, 237 nt
Filed under: uncultured bacterium
Lineage: Bacteria
Description: partial 16S ribosomal RNA
Rfam family: Bacterial small subunit ribosomal RNA
Source: RNAcentral
UGAGUAACCUGCCCUUAACUCUGGGAUAAGCCUGGGAAACUGGGUCUAAUACCGGAUAUGACUCCUCAUCGCAUGGUGGGGGGUGGAAAGCUUUAUUGUGGUUUUGGAUGGACUCGCGGCCUAUCAGCUAGUUGGUGUGGGUAAUGGCCCACCAAACGGCGACGACGGGUAGCCGGCCUGAGAGGGUGACCGGCCACAUUGGGACUGAGAUACGGCCCAGACUCCUACGGGAGGCAG